RNAcentral lists this unclassified non-coding RNA (696 nucleotides) under Rhipicephalus microplus (southern cattle tick). RNAcentral's name for it is "female-specific histamine-binding protein 2-like, transcript variant X1". Lineage: Eukaryota; Metazoa; Arthropoda; Arachnida; Ixodida; Ixodidae. The record is from RNAcentral.
UUGUUAAACCGUAAGAGAGGAGACAUGUGCGAAUUUUUACCUUAUACCCAAUCUGCGACCAUAUCAUAGAAUAUUGUUACACAUUCAACAUGAAUGUUUAUCUGCUCUUCUCGAUAUUUGGACUGGCUGUUUGCAGAGAUAGUAAAUUGUACCUGAAACCUGCUUGGGCGGACGAACAAAAGUUCCACAGAUAUCAAGACGUCAAGAAGGCAUACGUCUUAUGCCAAAGUCACUGUCACUAAAGUGUAUGGCUACAAGAAAACGAAGAAUGGUUUCAAGUACAAGCCGCAAGAUGGGAGUAUGCAAUCCAAAUAUGCCCUCACGUUCUCUAAUUACCGGACUUGCUCAAUCUACUACGGUCCUACGCACGUCUUCUCAGGAGAUUACGAGCUAUGGGUGAGAGACUACAAAAAUAUUCCACCUUGUUGCGAAUUUCUAUUCAAAUAUUUGGCUCUGGCUAAGCGAACACGUGUAAUGUAUGAGGACAUCUGCGAUUCUGAAACUGAUGUAAAGGGAUGACAAAAAGGAUGCUUAUGACAUUUGCACGAAUACCUUGUAUAGGUUCAGCAAAUGUAAGCAUAGUCACUUCGGUGAAUUUUUUUUGGAGUGGCCUGUUGAGGAAGCAUUCGCGUAUUGAACUGAAAAAACAGUAAUAGUACUGCUACAAACGCGAAUAAAGUCUGGAAACCAAAAACA